Molecule: transfer RNA, 113 nt
Filed under: Klebsiella quasipneumoniae subsp. similipneumoniae
Lineage: Bacteria; Pseudomonadati; Pseudomonadota; Gammaproteobacteria; Enterobacterales; Enterobacteriaceae
Also listed under: 1 other name
Description: tRNA-Leu
Source: RNAcentral
ACGAACCGUAGGUGCGUAACAAGUUAGUGAUGAUAAUCAAUGACUUGUUAGACGCAGUUGAUUCAAAAUCAACCGUAGAAAUACGUGCCGGUUCGAGUCCGGCCUUCGUACCA